CGGACGGGUGAGUAAUGUCUGGGAAACUGCCUGAUGGAGGGGGAUAACUAUUGGAAACGGUAGCUAAUACCGCAUAACGUCGCAAGACCAAAGAGGGGGACCUUGGGCCUCUUGCCAUCGGAUGUGCCCAGAUGGGAUUAGCUAGUAGGUGGGGUAAAGGCUCACCUAGGCGACGAUCCCUAGCUGGUCUGAGAGGAUGACCAGCCACACUGGAACUGAGACACGGUCCAG
RNAcentral lists this ribosomal RNA (231 nucleotides) under uncultured bacterium. RNAcentral describes it as "partial 16S ribosomal RNA". It matches the Rfam family "Bacterial small subunit ribosomal RNA", at positions 99 to 334 of the family's 1533-position model. The record is from RNAcentral.